UGCAAGUCGAACGAGCUUCCGUUGAAUGACGUGCUUGCACUGAUUUCAACAAUGAAGCGAGUGGCGAACUGGUGAGUAACACGUGGGGAAUCUGCCCAGAAGCAGGGGAUAACACUUGGAAACAGGUGCUAAUACCGUAUAACAACAAAAUCCGCAUGGAUUUUGUUUGAAAGGUGGCUUCGGCUAUCACUUCUGGAUGAUCCCGCGGCGUAUUAGUUAGUUGGUGAGGUAAAGGCCCACCAAGACGAUGAUACGUAGCCGACCUGAGAGGGUAAUCGGCCACAUUGGGACUGAGACACGGCCCAAACUCCUACGGGAGGCAGCAGUAGGGAAUCUUCCACAAUGGACGAAAGUCUGAUGGAGCAAUGCCGCGUGAGUGAAGAAGGGUUUCGGCUCGUAAAACUCUGUUGUUAAAGAAGAACACCUUUGAGAGUAACUGUUCAAGGGUUGACGGUAUUUAACCAGAAAGCCACGGCUAACUACGUGCCAGCAGCCGCGGUAAUACGUAGGUGGCAAGCGUUGUCCGGAUUUAUUGGGCGUAAAGCGAGCGCAGGCGGUUUUUUAAGUCUGAUGUGAAAGCCUUCGGCUUAACCGGAGAAGUGCAUCGGAAACUGGGAGACUUGAGUGCAGAAGAGGACAGUGGAACUCCAUGUGUAGCGGUGGAAUGCGUAGAUAUAUGGAAGAACACCAGUGGCGAAGGCGGCUGUCUAGUCUGUAACUGACGCUGAGGC
Molecule: ribosomal RNA, 731 nt
Filed under: Levilactobacillus brevis
Lineage: Bacteria; Bacillati; Bacillota; Bacilli; Lactobacillales; Lactobacillaceae
Description: bacterial SSU rRNA
Rfam family: Bacterial small subunit ribosomal RNA
Source: RNAcentral